This 253-nucleotide ribosomal RNA is filed under the name uncultured microorganism. RNAcentral's name for it is "partial 16S ribosomal RNA". It matches the Rfam family "Bacterial small subunit ribosomal RNA", at positions 524 to 776 of the family's 1533-position model. The record is from RNAcentral.
UACGUAGGGUGCGAGCGUUAAUCAGAUUUACUGGGCGUAAAGCGUGCGCAGGCGGCCCGUUAAGACAGGUGUGAAAUCCCUGGGCUCAACCUAGGAAUUGCGCUUGUGACUGGCGGGCUCGAGUACGGUAGAGGGGGGUGGAAUUCCUGGUGUAGCAGUGAAAUGCGUAGAGAUCAGGAGGAACACCGAUGGCGAAGGCAGCCCCCUGGGCCUGUACUGACGCUCAUGCACGAAAGCGUGGGGAGCAAACAGG